UAUUUGGUGAACUGAUAAGUUUUAUUGGC
Molecule: non-coding RNA, 29 nt
Filed under: Mus musculus (house mouse)
Lineage: Eukaryota; Metazoa; Chordata; Mammalia; Rodentia; Muridae
Source: RNAcentral